GGUACCUACGGGAGGCAGCAGUGAGGAAUAUUGGUCAAUGGGCGAGAGCCUGAACCAGCCAAGUCGCGUGAGGGAGUACUGCCCUAUGGGUUGUAAACCUCUUUUGUCGGGGAGCAAAAGCCGGACGUGUCCGUCUGUGAGAGUACCCGAAGAAAAAGCAUCGGCUAACUCCGUGCCAGCAGCCGCGGUAAUACGGAGGAUGCGAGCGUUAUCCGGAUUUAUUGGGUUUAAAGGGUGCGUAGGCGGGCUGUUAAGUCAGCGGUCAAAUGUCGGGGCUCAACCCCGGCCUGCCGUUGAAACUGGCG
This 305-nucleotide ribosomal RNA is filed under the name uncultured bacterium. Its description in RNAcentral is "bacterial SSU rRNA". It matches the Rfam family "Bacterial small subunit ribosomal RNA", at positions 334 to 638 of the family's 1533-position model. The record is from RNAcentral.